RNAcentral lists this long non-coding RNA (276 nucleotides) under Hordeum vulgare. RNAcentral's name for it is "long non-coding RNA (HVUL_LNC015538)". Lineage: Eukaryota; Viridiplantae; Streptophyta; Magnoliopsida; Poales; Poaceae. The record is from RNAcentral.
AUGCGGCACCAUCGCCUUCCUCCUCGGCGUUCGGCAUGCCGAUUGCAACACCCAAAGGCGUCGUUUUCGCCUCACCGUUGCUUCCGAAGCAUCAGUCGGCGCAGAGGCGCCGCGUCGAUACCGCAUGCUGGAGAACGUCUCGAACACAUCAGAGGAGGUGGAGGCAGACUACAGCAACGAGGUGUGCAUGCUUGUGGGAGAGGAGCCGACCUCCUUCACUGAGGCCGAGAAGGACCAAGGUCGGCGCGCCGCGAUGGACGAAGAGAUGCAUAGCAU